This 499-nucleotide ribosomal RNA is filed under the name uncultured bacterium. RNAcentral describes it as "partial 16S ribosomal RNA". It matches the Rfam family "Bacterial small subunit ribosomal RNA", at positions 29 to 507 of the family's 1533-position model. The record is from RNAcentral.
ACGAACGCUGGCGGCGUGCUUAACACAUGCAAGUCGAACGGGUCUGCCCUGUUUUUUGCGGGGUGGGUCAGUGGCGAACGGGUGAGUAACACGUGAGUAACCUGCCCCUCACUUCUGGAUAACCGCUUGAAAGGGUGGCUAAUACGGGGUGUUCUGGCUGUGCCGCAUGGUGUGGCUGGGAAAGAUUCACUUUUGUGGUGUUUUGGUGGGGGAUGGGCUCGCGGCCUAUCAGCUUGUUGGUGGGGUGAUGGCCUGCCAAGGCUUUGACGGGUAGCCGGCCUGAGAGGGUGGGCGGUCACACUGGGACUGAGAUACGGCCCAGACUCCUGCGGGAGGCAGCAGUGGGGGGUAUUGCACAAUGGGCGGAAGCCUGAUGCAGCGACGUCGCGUGAGGGAUGGAGGCCUUCGGGUUGUGAACCUCUUUCGCCGGUGAAGAAGGUCCUGCUCUUUGUGGUGGGGUUGACGGUAGCUGGGUUAUGAAGCGCCGGCUAACUACGUG